This 1323-nucleotide ribosomal RNA is filed under the name Salmonella enterica subsp. enterica. Its description in RNAcentral is "partial 23S ribosomal RNA". It matches the Rfam family "Bacterial large subunit ribosomal RNA", at positions 655 to 1874 of the family's 2925-position model. RNAcentral also lists the same sequence under 1 other name. Lineage: Bacteria; Pseudomonadati; Pseudomonadota; Gammaproteobacteria; Enterobacterales; Enterobacteriaceae. The record is from RNAcentral.
GUAUAGGGGAGCCGGAGGGAAACCGAGUCUUAACCGGGCGUUAAGUUGCAGGGUAUAGACCCGAAACCCGGUGAUCUAGCCAUGGGCAGGUUGAAGGUUGGGUAACACUAACUGGAGGACCGAACCGACUAAUGUUGAAAAAUUAGCGGAUGACCUGUGGCUGGGGGUGAAAGGCCAAUCAAACCGGGAGAUAGCUGGUUCUCCCCGAAAGCUAUUUAGGUAGCGCCUCGUGAAUUCAUCUCCGGGGGUAGAGCACUGUUUCGGCUAGGGGGCCAUCCCGGCUUACCAACCCGAUGCAAACUGCGAAUACCGGAGAAUGUUAUCACGGGAGACACACGGCGGGUGCUAACGUCCGUCGUGAAGAGGGAAACAACCCAGACCGCCAGCUAAGGUCCCAAAGUCAUGGUUAAGUGGGAAACGAUGUGGGAAGGCCCAGACAGCCAGGAUGUUGGCUUAGAAGCAGCCAUCAUUUAAAGAAAGCGUAAUAGCUCACUGGUCGAGUCGGCCUGCGCGGAAGAUGUAACGGGGCUAAACCAUGCACCGAAGCUGCGGCAGCGAACGUAUCACCCAAGACAACUUUACGGAGUUGACGAUUGACGGAGCGAAGCGACGUCAAAGCGUUCAUUAAAGUCGAGUUGGCUUAGGGAUACGUUCGUUGGGUAGGGGAGCGUUCUGUAAGCCUGUGAAGGUGUGUCGUGAGGCAUGCUGGAGGUAUCAGAAGUGCGAAUGCUGACAUAAGUAACGAUAAAGCGGGUGAAAAGCCCGCUCGCCGGAAGACCAAGGGUUCCUGUCCAACGUUAAUCGGGGCAGGGUGAGUCGACCCCUAAGGCGAGGCCGAAAGGCGUAGUCGAUGGGAAACGGGUUAAUAUUCCCGUACUUGGUGUUACUGCGAAGGGGGGACGGAGAAGGCUAUGUUGGCCGGGCGACGGUUGUCCCGGUUUAAGCGUGUAGGUGUGUGUUCCAGGUAAAUCCGGUUCACUUUAACACUGAGGCGUGACGACGAGGCACUACGGUGCUGAAGCAACAAAUGCCCUGCUUCCAGGAAAAGCCUCUAAGCAUCAGGUAACACGAAAUCGUACCCCAAACCGACACAGGUGGUCAGGUAGAGAAUACCAAGGCGCUUGAGAGAACUCGGGUGAAGGAACUAGGCAAAAUGGUGCCGUAACUUCGGGAGAAGGCACGCUGACACGUAGGUGAAGUGAUUUACUCAUGGAGCUGAAGUCAGUCGAAGAUACCAGCUGGCUGCAACUGUUUAUUAAAAACACAGCACUGUGCAAACACGAAAGUGGACGUAUACGGUGUGACGCCUGCCCGGUGCCGGAA